UCUUUUCUGAAUCAAACCAGUUAGCCUAUCGUUUUAAAAUGGUGCAUAAGAUUAAGGCCAUAAGAAAAAGGUUAGACACCAUCAAUGCUGAUAGGAGAUUUCACUUAGAGGUACGUACUGUGGAGACACGAGUGGUGAACAGGGAGAGGGAUAACACUCAUUCUUUGGUACGUGCGGAAACAAUUAUUGGUCGAGAGGAUGAUAAGAAGGCUGUUAUGGACCUUUUGAUGGACUCCAACGUUGAAGAGAAUGUGUCAAUUCUUCCAAUUGUUGGCAUCGGUGGAUUGGGAAAGACUACACUCGCUCAAUUUGUAUUCAAUGAUAAACAAAUCCAAAAACAUUUUGAGCUCAAAAUGUGGGUGUGUGUCUCUGAUAUCUUUGAUGUUAAAAAUAUUGUUGCUCAAAUCUUAGAAUCUGCAACAAAGAAGAAACCAGAAGCCGUCGAAAUGGAUACAUUGGUAAACUAUCUUCUAAAAGAAAUCGAAGGAAAGAAAUACUUCCUAGUGUUGGAUGAUGUGUGGAAUGGCGAUCAUGGAAAAUGGUGUCGCUUGAAACAAGUGCUGAUGGGUGGAGCAAGAGGUAGUAGAAUAGUAGUGACUACUCGCAAUGAAAUUGUUGCAAGGACCAUCCGCAAGGAAAGCGUUGCAAGGAUUAUCGGGACAGUUGAAUCAUAUUCCUUAAAAGGUUUAGACGAAGAGGCAUCAUGGUCUUUAUUUAAGCAUAAGGCGUUUGAGAAAGGACGAGAGCCGGAGAAUUCAAUCAUCGUUGCACUUGGGAAGGAGAUCGUACAAAAGUGUAUUGGUGUCCCUCUAGCCAUAACGACAAUCGGAAGUUUAAUGGGCUCAAAAAAUCCUGAAACUGAGUGGCUGUCUUUUAAGAACAAUGAACUCUCAAAAGUAUCUGAGAAUGAAAAUGACAUCUUACUAACUUUGAAGCUUAGUUAUGAUCAUCUUCCUUCACACUUAAAGCACUGUUUUGCUUAUUGUUGUUUGUUUCCAAAAGAUUACGAGAUUGAUACAUCAAAACUGGUUAAACUUUGGAUAGCACAGGGGUUUGUUAAGUCAUCCCAUGAUCAAAAUCGAUGCUUGGAAGAGGUUGGUAAAGAGUAUCUUAUGGAUUUACUAUGGAGAUCAUUCUUUCAAGAAGCUCAAAUGGAUGAGUUUGGUGACGUAAUUGAAUGCAAAAUGCAUGACCUCAUGCAUGAUCUUGCGAUUUCAGUGGUAGGAUCGUUGAUCGCGACAUUAGAUGAUAAGGAGAGAAACCUUGAUGAAAAAACUCGUCAUGUAUCAUUACUUGGCUACAAUAAACCUAUUUCUUCAUUGUGUGAAGCAAGUAGGAUACGAACAUUUCUUUUUCUCUAUGACCGUAAGUACCUUAAUUAUAAGAUUGAUUGUGAUGAACUUUUUUCAAGUUUCAAGUUCUUGCGCAUGUUGGAUCUGUCAUUUAGAAAUCUUGAUUCUGUGCCAAGCUCUAUUGGGGAGUUGAAGCAUUUAAGGUAUCUUGAUCUUUCUCACAAUAAAAAUAUCAAGAAGUUACCAGAUUCUAUAACUAGGUUGCAGAAUUUGCAAACACUAAGACUCGUGUGGUGUCGGUCACUUAAGAAAUUACCGAGAGACAUUAAAAAAUUGGUCAAUCUCAGGCAUCUUGAGAUAGAUUAUUGUGAUUCUUUGACUUAUAUGCCACGUGGAUUGGGGCAACUGAAUAAUCUUCGGACGUUAACAAAAUUUGUGCUUCACUCGGGUUCUCACUCCAAGCAUUGUGGUGGUUUACAAGAACUAAACAGACUAAAUAAGCUAAGAGGAAGAUUAGAGAUUAGAAAUUUGGGACAUGGGAAAGGUGUUGCAUUAGAAUAUAAGGCUGCAAAUCUAAAGGAGAAACAACAUCUUCAUUCUUUGAGUUUACGCUGGAGUAGUGAAGGAUAUGUCAAUGAUUGGGACGAUGUCAAUGAUAAAAUGCCAUUGGAAGGCUUCCAACCGCCCCCAAAUCUGAAACAUCUAUACUUAUUUUUCUAUCAGGGUUCAAGGCUUCCGAGUUGGGUUUUGUUACCCACAAAUCUUGUAACUUUGGCGCUACUUGGUUGCAGCACGUUAAAGUCUCUCCCCCCAGGUAUACAACAUCUCACUUCCCUUCAACACCUGAAUCUUCUGGGUUGUCCUGACCUUGAGCUAGCCAAUGAUGAGAAUGGGAUGCAAUGGAAAGGCCUUACAAGCCUCGUCUCUCUUCACUUCUCAGGACUUUCAAAAUUGGUGUCUCUCCCCUCAGGGCUUCAACAUGUUACUACUCUACAAGAGCUCCAGAUUUGGAGUUGUGAAAGCUUGACGGCCAUACCAAAGUGGAUCCACAACUUCAAAUCACUUCAAGCCUUUCAAAUUUGUAGAUGCCCCGGUUUGACAUCACUGCCCGAAGGAAUGGGUAGGCUAACGUCUUUGCAGAGGCUAAAAAUUGAUGAUUGUCCCAUCUUAUUGCGAAGAUGCGAGAGAGGCACAGGUGAGGAUUGGGCAAAGAUUGCUCACAUUCCAGAGUUAUACUUGGGGACUCCCUCUCUGCAUGAAGAAAAUUCAAGCACCCACGCAUCUUCUACCAUUCAGAAAAUAUGGGAUGGUUCUUUUUCUUGCCAAGUGAAAGAGGUGUAGAAAAGCUUGAGGAUGGCUGACACUGCUGGAUUGUUUGAGUUUGAGCCUUGCUUGGAAAAUAUAGAGAUGCAUUUACAGGAGAAGACGAUUCAGGCUGAUUUAACACUUUUGGGUAUUAAAAUUUUUGGGUUUUUAUUUAUUUUCCAGUAUUUGUUUGUAUGCAUAAGAGUCAUAGAUAGUACUGUCAGCAAAACUAGUUAUAAGCUUCUUGGAUGUAGCACAACUAUAACUUUGCACACUGUUAAGUUGAAACAGGUAGGCUUCGUGCAUUUAUGAGCUUGAUAUUGUCAAAUUAAAAGUUGUGGGGAGUUUCUUAUUUAUGAAACAAAGUUUCUUAUUUUCUUGGUUCAAUAAAAAAGAGAGCAUACAAUAUUAACAAAUGCGUCACAGAGGCAAUGAUUUACUGGGCAUUUGAGGAGACCCAAAAUAGACAGAACACAUCAAUUACAGGACUAAUCUAGAGGAAGGGUGAAAAAAGAGAGUGCAAUGAGCUAGAAACCAAAGGAACAGAUAUGUUGUCAUCUGCUGCCUCUGUGGUUGGAACAGAUAUGUUGUCAUUUUUGUUGAAAAUAAUCCGGUUUUAUGCAUGUUUUGUUGAUGAUUAUAGCAGA
Molecule: non-coding RNA, 3244 nt
Organism: Corylus avellana
Lineage: Eukaryota; Viridiplantae; Streptophyta; Magnoliopsida; Fagales; Betulaceae
Source: RefSeq, a predicted model, not a curated record